AGUGAACGCUGGCGGUAGGCCUAACACAUGCAAGUCGAACGGCAGCACAGUAAGAGCUUGCUCUUACGGGUGGCGAGUGGCGGACGGGUGAGGAAUACAUCCGAAUCUACUUUUUCGUGGGGGAUAAUGUAGGGAAACUUACGCUAAUACCGCAUACGACCUACGGGUGAAAGCAGGGGAUCUUCGGACCUUGCGCGAUUGAAUGAGCCGAUGUCGGAUUAGCUAGUUGGCGGGGUAAAGGCCCACCAAGGCGACGAUCCGUAGCUGGUCUGAGAGGAUGAUCAGCCACACUGGAACUGAGACACGGUCCAGACUCCUACGGGAGGCGGCAGUGGGGAAUAUUGGACAAUGGGCGCAAGCCUGAUCCAGCCAUACCGCGUGGGUGAAGAAGGCCUUCGGGUUGUAAAGCCCUUUUGUUGGGAAAGAAAAGCAGCAGGUUAAUACCCCGCUGUUCUGACGGUACCCAAAGAAUAAGCACCGGCUAACUUCGUG
Molecule: ribosomal RNA, 492 nt
Filed under: uncultured bacterium
Lineage: Bacteria
Description: partial 16S ribosomal RNA
Rfam family: Bacterial small subunit ribosomal RNA
Source: RNAcentral